Vicia faba (fava bean) is the source of this 207-nucleotide non-coding RNA. Lineage: Eukaryota; Viridiplantae; Streptophyta; Magnoliopsida; Fabales; Fabaceae. The record is from the annotation of a GenBank genome assembly.
AUGCCACUUGGGUUACUAAAAUAUGUUACCACUUGGUCCAUUCUCUACUGCAUAAAGGAAGGAAAUAAUUGUGUUAGUAAACCUUUUGCACUAUUGUUACAUGAAUGGUUCUGCAUUGGUCAUUCAAUUAAAACCUUAAUAGAAAAUUUUCGACAGGACAUGCAGCAUAUGUUAAAAAAAAAUACUCUUUUUAAUACGAGAAAAUGA